Long non-coding RNA from Archocentrus centrarchus (flier cichlid), 755 nucleotides. RefSeq lists it as uncharacterized. The transcript is spliced from 3 exons. NCBI's taxonomy places the organism in Eukaryota, Metazoa, Chordata, Actinopteri, Cichliformes, Cichlidae. The record is from RefSeq and is a predicted model, not a curated record.
UUCAUGAAUAAAACCUGUGCUGUGGGCGAUUUAGAAUCACUUUAACCUAACCUGAGUAACUGCAUGUGUUUGGAUUGUGGGAGGAAACCCAGAGAGAACGACACAAACUCCAAACAGAGACGUCCACCAAGGUGGAUUUGAACCCAGGACCUUCUUCUAUGAGACAACAGUAACCACCACAACACCCUGCUGCCCCCUGAGUGUGGAGAGGACACAGAUGAACAGGACAGUCAGAUGAAGACUCUUCUGUCCUGCAGACUGGAUUUGUUCUCCAUCAUCUGCACAUGUCAUUAAUUUGAUGAAGCAGUUUCUCUCUGUCUCACUGUGGAUUUUUAUCCUCUGCUUGAGUUUUAUUAAAGGAUCAUUUGUAGUGAAUGUGACUCAGAGCUCCUAUCAGGCAGAGGAGAACCACAACAUCACACUGGAGUGGACGUUCACCACCAAAUCAGACUCGUUCAUCAAGUCACUAAAGAUCCUCUGCAGCCUGACAGCUGAUAAAAAAAAGUCAACUCUUUAUUUUAUUCAUGAUGGAGUCGAGCUCUCAGAGGUUCAGGAUGCAAAGUUUUCAGGGCGAGUCCAGAGUGACAAAGACGCCCUCAGAGAAGGACGAAUCAGACUGCAGCUGUCCAGACUCAGGACUGAGGACUCGGGUCUGUACCUGUGUGAGGUGACCACAGGUGAUGGCAGCGGCUACAACAGCUGCAGAGUCACCGUCUCUGGUAAGAGGAUUCAUUUUAAAGCUGGGAUCACUCUGA